CGUUGAGAUUGUGAAUGUGAAAAAUGCAAAAAUGAUAGUCUUAUUUCUCAUUAAAUCCAAAGAGGGGUCUUUCUGUUCUUGAAUUUGUCUUUACCUAUUUGAAGGUGAUGGAGAUGAGAUUCAUGCAGCAUUAACUGAGUGGACAGGGCAAAGGACAGUACCUAAUGUGUUUAUUGGAGGCAAGCACAUUGGUGGUUGUGACUGUAAGGCUACACACUCAUGUUGCUUCUUUUUCACGUGGCAAAGACAAAACUAGACUUGUUUUUUUUCUUUCUGUUUUCAUUAUUUGUGUGUAAUAUUUUUAUCACAUGUUUAUUUGUUGCAGCUAUUUUGGAGAAACACCGUGCAGGUCAAUUGAUUCCUCUUCUCACUGAUGCUGGAGCCAUCGCCAAGAACUCUGCUCAGCUCUGAAUAGUCACAUAAUGUUUCUGGAACUACUAGUAUUUGCUAAAGUUUGUGACAUUACUUUGUAUGAAUAUAAAAUACACAAAACAAGCAUGUGUAAUAAUAUACACUUAUGUUAGUAGAGAUAUAGUUGGUUAUAACUAUAUAAUUCUAAAAUAUGUGAAAGAGGAUCAUCUUAGUGGUUAAUCUUUAAAUAUAAAACUCUGGUUAUUAUUUGCAAAAUUACUUUUUUUUUACUAGUACUAGCAUAGCAUCAAUCUUUUAUCCGGGUUUAAACCUAAGCCUUCAACCUCCUUGAUUCUUUAGAAUUUAAGUCGUAAAAUUAAUAAAAAUUGUAAAAUUAUAUCGAUUGUUUUAAAAUUUUAAGUUGUUUACUUUGAUUGGUAUUAAAACUUAGUAUCUUAGUAGAAUCUUUUCUAUAUUGGUUGUUGAUCUGAUCAUGUUAUGGGUGAUUGUCCGAGUUCAAAUCUUAGUUUUCAGUUGGUGAAAGAAUUUGAAGCUUUUUUGAACAAAAAUGGUUUUGUUUGUUGGAUUCAUGUUCUCAAUUAAGUCGGACGAUUUAGCUAAGUAUGACCUUCCUGAAGUAGAGUUUAUGAUUUUGUGUCUUCUUUUUUUGGUGAAUGCGAUUUUUGCGGAUGCUUCCACCAUUACAUUCCUGCGUAUAGUUUCUCAGUUUUUCUUCGUUGGACUUUCAGCCCAUCUUGUUCACCAAAAAAAGAGACGAUUGCUCUUUAGACACCCACCGAACGACAAUUAAUUGUUGUUCGAUACUUGUUCAAAAGGAAAAAAAAAACUACGAUUCAUUACUUUUUAGAUUGGUUGAGUCACUUUUUAAAUUGGUUCAUCUAAUUGAAAAAGUAUUUCAAACGACUUUCUUAAAUGUCUAAAGAAUAAUAUAUAAGACUCACUCUCUUAUUGAAUAAAUACAUGUGAGUCACACCACUUUAAGAAUAAAUCAUAUAUAAAUAAUACGUGUAUUUCACACGGUAAAAGAGUGAUUAUUUUAGUUUUUGACACAUGAAAGAUUAAGUGUUAGAAAAAGUGUGUUAAAGCGAAUGUUGUAAAUAUAAUGUAUUUGGGGGGUAUAUGUAUAAACGGAGAGUAUGAAGUAAAAUUCCAUUUUAAACAUAUAAUCAACCAACAAAAACACGGUAAUUAACUAACUUCACCCGCCGCGCCAAAUUUUGAUGACAAGCUCAUAAAAAUUCCACCAAGCAAGAUCAAAUUCCAACACCUGUUUUCUGUUUUCAUCUAACACCUGUUUUCAUAUACAAGAAAUGGGUUCUAUGCAGAGUUCUCAGAAGAGCAAAGAAGAGAUGGAAACUGCCAUGAAUAAAGCUAAGGAGAUUGCCGCUUCAUCCCCCGUCUUUGUCUUCAGGUUUUUUUUUUUUUUUUAUUUCGUUCAUAAUUUUUUUUUUGUGGGGAUGCCAGUGAUUUUUAGGGUUUAGGGGAAUCUCAAAAUAGACCGACUAUAUUUAUUUCUCUAUGUGGUGUGUUUCAUGGUAAUUGAUUGUGCAUGUAAAUUUAGGAAUUUGUCUUUUCAAUUAUGGCUUAGUGUAUGUUUGGUUAUGUCACUUAUGUGAAUUACUAGAUUCUGGAAAAUUGAUUGUGUUGAACGCAAGGUGAUUUAUGUUUGAAUUAGUGCUAGCAACACUCUUGAGUCAAAUUUUGUGUCUUGUUGUUAAUAUUUGGCUGGCUUGUUCAAUCAAAGGAAUUCCACUUCACUGUAGGUGUUAAAUGUGGCUGUUAUUAUUGAUAAGUCUUUAUUUUUCACAUGUGGUAAGCUACAAACUUACACUAAGCUUGUGUCAGGUGGUUGUCAAAUGAGGUAGUGUGGGAUACUUGGUCAGUGAGAGUGAGGAAGGGUGGCUAUAAUUGUUUGUGCUUUGUAUGUGCGUGAGAGAGAUGUAAGAAACAUGUGUGCUGACUGUUCAACCGGUUGCUUGUUAUACUCUUCAAUGAAAAGGGGACGUGGCAAUGUAAAUGUGCGCGUGUCCAAGCGUUUGAUGCUAGCGGUUCUCUAAUGUAAUAUAGGUUGGAAACUAAAUUCAAAGCUAAAAAGCUGCAAAUUCUAGUUAAAGUUAGAAUCAAUUCUAGAGACAUAAUCAGUUUUAUUCAAGAACAUUUGAACAUGUCAAAAUCAAUUCUACACCUGUAGAAUCAAUUUCGGCUUCUGUAAAAGUGGAACCAAACAUACACUCGGCCUUCGUUUCGAAACACGACGUAACCUCACGUCCACACAGAAGCACUAGUUGUGGCUUCACAAUUUUCACAAUGGAAACGCACGGUAAUUGUAGCUUCACAAUUUUCAUGUGUAAAGUACAUGGGAUGCGAGAAUGAGCCUUCAAAAGCUGUUCCGAACACACACUUAACUGUUUUUAUUUUUUUACCAAACAAACAUAAUUUAUGAAACACAAAAAAGGGGUUACAAAGGAUUGGGUGGGGGGACAGGAACCAAUGCCCAAUAAUUCCCUAUAGAGAUAAUAGCUAAUAAAACUGGGCACUUAGCUGUUAGCCAAUGCUGUGCAAUUUGAUCACAUGUAUGCAUUAAAUUGGUUGUCAAGACAACUUGGUGUCUUUCACACGUAGGUUUAAUGUUGAUAAUCUCAUUCUGUAAUUUAUGUUGUGGUGUGGCAGUAAGACUUAUUGUGGUUACUGCAAUCGGGUCAAGGAUCUACUCAAACAGCUGGGAGCAGCCCACAAGGUCAUUGAAUUGGAUACAGAAAGUGAGUUUACUUUCAAUGCCGUCUCGAUAGAUUUCAUGUUUGCUCCAUUAUGUGCUUUUUCCAAAAGUUGAAUGUCAGGACUACUUUGUUUGGUUGCCCCUCUUAGGUCUUUGUUUGUUAUUGGACCUCUUAGACAUAUUUUAAAUUUUCCAAUUUCACUUAGGCUAUGUUUGGGAGUUUUGGAGGGAACGAGAGAACUUUGGAGAAAAUGAAAAAGAAGGAAGGAUAAAACAAAAUCUCCGUAUAUGGGGAAAACAAAAAAUGUAUUGGAAGAAGACUUUAGAGGGCAUACGUAAUACAUGAUUUUUUUAUUUCAAUGUUUUUAUAAUAGUCUCAAUUAAAAGUGUAUUAAUCAUAAACGUUUUCUUCUUAUUCUCUACAAAAAAAACUCUCUUAAAUAAGCUAGAUUUGUGUCUUUUCCUCCCCUCCCUUCUCCUCCUUUCCAAACCUCUCAAACUGAGCUUUAGUUACUACUUACUAGUUUAGUUCGAGUGUACCGUCAAUAAUAUACCAUAUGAUUCUAUUUGAGGGUUUAGAUUUGUUCAAGCAAAAAAGAGCAACACCUAUGCCUUGCCCCACCUAAUCCCACUCUUCUUUUCAUUUCCAGCAAACUCUUCCAUAUUCUCGUCCACUCAUCAGAGGCAAGAAGAUCCUUCCCCAUCAACCCUCCUCAUUUUUAUUUUUUUUAUCAGUUCAUUUCCAAUCAGAUUUUGUUGAGGAUUGUUAAAAGAAUUACCCAGAUGAUUGUUUUGGUCAUCAUAAAGUAUUUUCUAGAAACUUAUCCAAAUCCAUAAAAUCCAAGAAUUUCGUGUAAUACAGAAUUUGAAGGCAAAAGUUAUGUAAAACAAAUUUUUAUACACACUGGAGAGAAACACGAUAAGAAUUCAUACACCCAAAUAAUCAUUUUGUAACCUAAAUAAUGGUCUUAUCCAGAAGCAAGAGUUUUUCAUGGCUUUCUUUGCACAAAUCUGCUUCCAAGGUUCAUAAUAUCCCUCCUCAUGUUGGGUUCCUUACAAUUCCAUUGCCGAUGAACCUCACUAUCUAACAUGGAAGGUUUUGCCGGAAAAAACAAAGGGCAGGAAUUGGGUGGGUCAAGGCAUAGGUGUUGUUCUUUCUUGUUUCAACUAGUCUAGACCCUUAAAUUGAUCUUAUGGUAUAUUAUUGAUGGUACACCGGUGAGGGACUUAAAUUGCUCCUUCACCUUAGAAGCCAGAUAUUCUAAGUUCAUUGUUACUUUACUUUGUUAUUAUUGUACAAGUACAUUGCUUUGUGGAAUAGACAAAAAUGAGUGUUAUUUCCAAUUAAAUCCAAAGUGGGGAUCUAGUAUUAUCUUAUGCUGUUUUUACCUAUUUGAAGGUGAUGGGGGUGAGAUUCAAGCAGCAUUAGCUGAGUGGACAGGGCAAAGGACAGUACCUAACGUGUUUAUUGGAGGCAAGCACAUUGGUGGUUGUGAU
RNAcentral lists this long non-coding RNA (4585 nucleotides) under Medicago truncatula (barrel medic). RNAcentral's name for it is "long non-coding RNA (MTRU_LNC000927)". Lineage: Eukaryota; Viridiplantae; Streptophyta; Magnoliopsida; Fabales; Fabaceae. The record is from RNAcentral.